Molecule: unclassified non-coding RNA, 379 nt
Filed under: uncultured delta proteobacterium
Lineage: Bacteria; Deltaproteobacteria
Description: contains 16S-23S intergenic spacer region
Source: RNAcentral
UCCGUGUUAACCACGGCAGUCUCCUUAGAGAGCCCAACUUAAUGCUGGCAACUAAGGACAAGGGUUGCGCUCGUUGCGGGACUUAACCCAACAUGUCACCACACGAGCUGACGACAGCCAUGCAGCACCUGUCUCCCUGCUGUAUUGCUACAGGAGUCAUAUCUCUAUGAUUGUCAGGGGAUGUCAAACCCAGGUAAGGUUCUUCGCGUUGCUUCGAAUUAAACCACAUGAUCCACCGCUUGUGCGGGCCCCCGUCAAUUCCUUUGAGUUUUAAUCUUGCGACCGUACUCCCCAGGCGGGGCACUUAAUGCGUUAGCUGCGGCACCCAGGGGGUCAAUACCCCGGACACCUAGUGCCCAUCGUUUACAGCGUGGACUAC